This 432-nucleotide ribosomal RNA is filed under the name uncultured Sphingomonadaceae bacterium. Its description in RNAcentral is "bacterial SSU rRNA". It matches the Rfam family "Bacterial small subunit ribosomal RNA", at positions 342 to 791 of the family's 1533-position model. Lineage: Bacteria; Pseudomonadati; Pseudomonadota; Alphaproteobacteria; Sphingomonadales; Sphingomonadaceae. The record is from RNAcentral.
CGGGAGGCAGCAGUGGGGAAUAUUGGACAAUGGGCGAAAGCCUGAUCCAGCAAUGCCGCGUGAGUGAUGAAGGCCUUAGGGUUGUAAAGCUCUUUUACCCGGGAAGAUAAUGACUGUACCGGGAGAAUAAGCCCCGGCUAACUCCGUGCCAGCAGCCGCGGUAAUACGGAGGGGGCUAGCGUUGUUCGGAAUUACUGGGCGUAAAGCGCACGUAGGCGGCUAUUCAAGUCAGAGGUGAAAGCCUGGAGCUUAACUCCAGAACUGCCUUUGAAACUAGAUAGCUAGAAUCAUGGAGAGGUGAGUGGAAUUCCGAGUGUAGAGGUGAAAUUCGUAGAUAUUCGGAAGAACACCAGUGGCGAAGGCGGCUCACUGGACAUGUAUUGACGCUGAGGUGCGAAAGCGUGGGGAGCAAACAGGAUUAGAUACCCGAGU